CCUUUGUACACACCGCCUGUCACUACUACCGAUUGAAUGGCUUAGUGAGGCCCUCAGAUCGAUGCUCGAAGACUGGCAACAGUUUCCAUUCAUUGAGAAGUUGGUCAAACUUGGUCAUUUAGAGG
Molecule: ribosomal RNA, 125 nt
Filed under: Glomus sp.
Lineage: Eukaryota; Fungi; Glomeromycota; Glomeromycetes; Glomerales; Glomeraceae
Description: partial small subunit ribosomal RNA
Rfam family: Eukaryotic small subunit ribosomal RNA
Source: RNAcentral